RNAcentral lists this ribosomal RNA (1135 nucleotides) under Bifidobacterium scardovii. RNAcentral's name for it is "partial 23S ribosomal RNA". It matches the Rfam family "Bacterial large subunit ribosomal RNA", at positions 1 to 1182 of the family's 2925-position model. Lineage: Bacteria; Bacillati; Actinomycetota; Actinomycetes; Bifidobacteriales; Bifidobacteriaceae. The record is from RNAcentral.
AGUCAAGAAAGCAAGGGCACAAGGUGGAUGCCUUGGCACAUGAAGGCGAAAAAGGACGUAAGUGAACGAAAACUAGGGUAAGCUCACAAAAAGCAUUGACCCCUAGGUCUCCGAAUGGGGCAACCCGGUUGUGGAAGACACAAUCAUUACUAAGUGAAUACAUAGCUUAGUAAGGCGAUACCCUGCGAACUGAAACAUCUAAGUAGCAGGAGGAAAAGAAAGAAACAUCGAUUUUCUAAGUAGCGGCGAGCGAAAGGAAAAGAGCCUAACUCAUUAAACGAUUUUAAAUCUAGUUGAAUUAACUGAAAAGCUAAACCAAAGAAAGUGAAAGUCUUGUAAACGAAAGAUUUAAGAAAGUAAGAGGGAAAGUAUCACCGGGCACGAGUAACCCGGUGUGAAGAUAGGGGGCCCAUCCCCUAAGGCUAAAUACUAACAUGUGACCGAUAGUGAACAAGUACCGUGAGGGAAAGGUGAAAAGAACCCCGAAAGGGGAGUGAAAUAGAACCUGAAACCUAGUGCCUACAAGCAGACAGAGCGUGAGCGAACGUGAUGUCGUACCUUUUGUAGAAUGGGCCAGCGAGUUAUUCUAAAUUGCAAGGUUAAUGAUUUAAGAUCAGAAGCCGUAGCGAAAGCGAGUCUUAAUAGGGCGAAAGUAAGAUAGAAUAGACCCGAAACCGGGUGAUCUAUCCAUGGUCAGAGUGAAGUUGAAGUAAAAUUCAAUGGAGGCUCGAACCGGGUGCGGUUUAAAACGCAUCGGAUGAACUGUGGAUAGGGGCGAAAAACCAAACGAACCCGGAGAUAGCUGGUUCUCCUCGAAAUAGCUUUAGGGCUAGCCUCUGACCUAAGAUUUUAGGAGGUAGAGCACUGAAUGGUCUAGGGCGGAUUACCGUACCAAAACCUAUCAAACUCCGAAUGCCAAAAAAUCAAGUCAGGGAGUCAGACUUAGGGGGAUAAGCUUCUAAGUCGAAAGGGAAACAGCCCAGACCGACAGCUAAGGUCCCAAAAUUUGAAUUAAGUGGAAAAGGAUGUGAAUCUACUAAGACAACCAGGACGUUGGCUUAGAAGCAGCCAUGCAUUUAAAGAAUGCGUAAUAGCUCACUGGUCAAGUGGGUUUGCGCCGAAAAUGAACGGGGCU